ACGUAGGGUGCGAGCGUUAAUCGGAAUUCUGGGCGUAAAGCGUGCGCAGGCGGUUAUGUAAGACAGAUGUGAAAUCCCCGGGCUCAACCUGGGAACUGCAUUUUGUGACUGAUGGCUAGAGUACGGUAGAGGGGGAUGGAAUUCCGCGUGUAGCAGUGAAAUGCGUAGAUAUGCGGAGGAACACCGAUGGCGAAGGCAAUCCCCUGGACCUGUACUGACGCUCAUGCACGAAAGCGUGGGGAGCAAACAGGAUUAGAUACCCGCGUAGUCC
RNAcentral lists this ribosomal RNA (271 nucleotides) under uncultured bacterium. Its description in RNAcentral is "partial 16S ribosomal RNA". It matches the Rfam family "Bacterial small subunit ribosomal RNA", at positions 525 to 796 of the family's 1533-position model. The record is from RNAcentral.